RNAcentral lists this ribosomal RNA (489 nucleotides) under uncultured bacterium. RNAcentral's name for it is "partial 16S ribosomal RNA". It matches the Rfam family "Bacterial small subunit ribosomal RNA", at positions 30 to 507 of the family's 1533-position model. The record is from RNAcentral.
AUUGAACGCUGGCGGCAGGCCUAACACAUGCAAGUCGAACGGUAACAGGAAACAGCUUGCUGUUUCGCUGACGAGUGGCGGACGGGUGAGUAAUGUCUGGGAAACUGCCUGAUGGAGGGGGAUAACUACUGGAAACGGUAGCUAAUACCGCAUAACGUCGCAAGACCAAAGAGGGGGACCUCCGGGCCUUUUGCCUCGGACUGGUCCCGAUGGGAUUAGCUUGUUGGUUGGGUAACGGCUCACCAAGGCGACGAUGCCUAGCUGGUCUGAGAGGAUGACCAGCCACACUGGAACUGAGACACGGUCCAGACUCCUACGGGAGGCAGCAGUGGGGAAUAUUGCACAAUGGGCGCAAGCCUGAUGCAGCCAUGCCGCGUGUAUGAAGAAGGCCUUCGGGUUGUAAAGUACUUUCAGCGGGGAGGAAGGGAGUAAAGUUAAUACCUUUGCUCAUUGACGUUACCCGCAGAAGAAGCACCGGCUAACUCCGUG